Molecule: ribosomal RNA, 545 nt
Filed under: uncultured delta proteobacterium
Lineage: Bacteria; Deltaproteobacteria
Description: bacterial SSU rRNA
Rfam family: Bacterial small subunit ribosomal RNA
Source: RNAcentral
GAGUUUGAUCAUGGCUCAGAAUGAACGCUGGUGGCGUGCCUAACACAUGCAAGUCGAACGAGAAACCUCGAGCUUGCUCGAGGAAGUAAAGUGGCGAACGGGUGAGUAACGCGUGGGUAACCUGCCCUUGAAACUGGGAUAACCUGCCGAAAGGCAGACUAAUACCGGAUAAAGUCCUUAUGGUUAUGGCUUUAAGGAUGAAAGAUGACCUCUUCAUGAAAGUUGUCGUUCAGGGAGGGGCCCGCGUACCAUUAGCUUGUUGGUAGGGUAACGGCCUACCAAGGCUACGAUGGUUANCUGGUCUGAGAGGAUGAUCAGCCACACUGGAACUGAAACACGGUCCAGACUCCUACGGGAGGCAGCAGUGAGGAAUUUUGCGCAAUGGGGGAAACCCUGACGCAGUAACGCCGCGUGAGUGAAGAAGGCCUUCGGGUCGUAAAGCUCUGUCAAGUGGGAAAAAAUUCUUAUGGUCAAUAGCCAUAAGAACUGAUGGUACCAUUGAAGGAAGCACCGGCUAACUCCGUGCCAGCAGCCGCGGUAAUACG